CCUACGGGGGGCAGCAGUGGGGAAUAUUGCACAAUGGGGGAAACCCUGAUGCAGCCAAGUAGCGUGAAGGAUGACUGCCCUACGGGUUGUAAACUUCUUUUAUAAAGGAGUAAAGUGAGGCACGUGUGCCUUUUUGUAUGUACUUUAUGAAUAAGGAUCGGCUAACUCCGUGCCAGCAGCCGCGGUAAUACGGAGGAUCCGAGCGUUAUCCGGAUUUAGUGGGUUUAAAGGGAGCGUAGAUGGGUUGUUAAGUCAGUUGUGAAAUUUUGCGGCUCAACCGUAAAAUUGCAAUUGAUACUGGCAGUCUUGAGUACAGUUGAGGUAGGCGGAAUUCGUGGUGUAGCGGUGAAAUGCUUAGAGAUCACGAAGAACUCCGAUUGCGAAGGCAGCUUACUAAACUGCCACUGACAUUGAUGCUCGAAAGUGUGGGUAUCAAACAGGAUUAGAUACCCUUGUAGUC
Molecule: ribosomal RNA, 460 nt
Filed under: uncultured bacterium
Lineage: Bacteria
Description: partial 16S ribosomal RNA
Rfam family: Bacterial small subunit ribosomal RNA
Source: RNAcentral